UGUGUGUGUGUGUGUGGUGUGUGGUGUGUGGUGUGUGGUGUGUGUGUAGUGUGUGUGUGUGGAUUUUCCUUUUUGGUUUGUCUCUGCAUGAACUCAACAGAUUCUUCCAAAACAACAACGAUACUGUUUUCCACAUUGCUUCUAAAUAUGAAAACACCUGUCCACACAUCUCUAUUAUAAUAUAAAUAUAAGAACAAAAUGUUUGGCCAGUAUGGCCCUAACAACCUGGUAACUUUAAUAUUAUUCAAACAUUUGGUGACACAGAAAGAAAGGGAACAUUACAGAAAGAAAGGAGAUAUUACUGCACUGUUGGAGCUGGAACACAAGCAUUUCACUACUCUCUCACAUACAUCUGAUAAAUGUGUACGUGACCAAUACAAUGUAGUUUGAUUUGAUUUGUAAAGGAUAUCAUAAAGACCCAAUGUAGGCUACAUCUCAAUCAAUAGAAAAAUGUUUUGCAAAUCUAUUGAAAAUUAAAUACAGAAAUCAAAUUUGCAUAAGUAUUCACACCCCUGAGUCUAUACUUGUAGAAGCACCUUUGGCAGCGAUUACAGAUUUGCUUUGUCUUGGGUUUGUUUGUAUCAGCUUUGCACAUCUGGAUUUGUUUUUUUUUCUCCCAUUCUUCCUUUUCUCACGCUCUGUUAAAUAAGAUGGGGAGAGGUGAAAAACAGCAAUCUUCAAGUCCUUCAAUCCACAGAUUUUCAAUGGGUUCAAGUCUGGGCUUUGGCUGGGCCACUCAAGGACUUUCACAUUCUUGUUCUGAAGUCAUUCCAGUAUUGCUUUGGCUGUAUGUUUGGGGUCAUUGUUCUGUUGGAACGUAAGUCUUUGCCUCAGUCUAAAGUUGUUUGCACUCUGAAGCAGGUCAUCAUCAAGGAUUUGCCUGUAUUUGGAUCCAUUCAUUGUUCCUCUGUCCUUGCCAGUCUCCCAGUCCAUUCCGCUUAAAAGUAUCCCCAUAGCAUGAUGCUGCCACCACGCUUCACUGUAGGGAUGGUGUUAGACGGGUGAUGAGCUGUGCCUGGUUUUCUCAACAUGGUCUCAGAGCAGUUCGUAUUAUUUUGUGCGUAUAUAAUCCAAAACACUCCAUUUACUGUGAUAUGUUACGUUUCGUAUGGUAUCUUAUUUUGUGGAUGUCCAUUAUCCAUUUUGUAUGAUAUGUUAUGAAUUACAAUUCAUAAUACAAUUCCUACGAUAUGUUUUGAAUUUGUUGAAUGUAUAACAUGUCACAAAUUACAAUUUGUUGUUGCUAACAGCUAGGUGGCUAACGCUAACUAGCUCUAGGGGUUAAGGUUUGGGGAAGGGUUAGCUAUAAGGGUUAGGGGAAGGGUUAGCUAAAAGGGUUAGGGGAAAGGUUAGGGGAAGGGUUAGCAAACUUGUAGUUCCAAGUAGUUCCAAUGUAGCAAAAAAUUUGUUUCAAUGUUGCUAACUAGCUAAAAUGCUAAAGUUUUCCGUGAUGAGAUUCAAACACUCAACCUUGGAGUUGCUAGAAGUUCGUGUUCUACACCCACAUCCACCCCGACUAAUCACCCUACUAUUGUUUUUGCCUUAAGAAACCUGUUUUAUGUAACCAUUAUGGAGGGAAUUAUUGAAUUACCUAUGUAGAUUAAUUGAACAUACUAUGCUAUUUUUACUUGGAGAAUUAUCCAUGGUUAUAUUUUAGUAUAGGCUUGUCUUGUGUGACUUUGUCAUGGGUCUGGGCGUACAGAUAAGAGCCGUUUGGGUGCAACUGCAGUAUGUGAGAUCCUGUUUUAACAAUCUACAGGAACUUUGAUGUGUGAAAACUGCAAGGGAAAUAUUACGUAUUUACCUGCUUUGUUGAAUAUUGAUUGUUGAAUUAUAUGCUUAACAAUAGUAAGAGAUUUUCACAACUACAAAUGCUGUGCUUCUGUAAAGGGAUGGUUCCCCUCUAGCUCCCUGCAGCUGGUCUGUGGGUAUAGUCAAGGACAUGGUGUGAGCCGAUAUAGAGAUAGCCUGAGAAAUAGAACAAACCCCUAUUUGUUUCUAAUCAUCUAUGCUUCUGAGAAUCUAAGCCAGGGUACGGGGAAACAACACCCGGUGAACAUAACCACAAGAUGAACCCAAGGUAGCUUAUGAUGCCUCGAUCUGCAUGGGAGGGGUGGAACCAGCCAUGACUAAGCAUUUCUAGGUCUGCUAUAUAGGACCUCUGUUUUUUCUGUAUCAUUGAACUUUCUGUCUUACACUCAAGAGUGUGGGGUCGACCAGCUUCAUUAUUGCAAUUCUUAAUAAAUAAAGAAGAUCGUUUGAAGAAA
Oncorhynchus tshawytscha (Chinook salmon) is the source of this 2267-nucleotide long non-coding RNA. The record is from Ensembl. NCBI's taxonomy places the organism in Eukaryota, Metazoa, Chordata, Actinopteri, Salmoniformes, Salmonidae.